GAUGAACGCUGGCGGCGUGCCUAAUACAUGCAAGUCGAGCGCGAGCGUAAGGAGCUUGCUCCUUACAAUCGAGCGGCGGACGGGUGAGUAACACGUGGGCAACCUACCCUUUAGACUGGGAUAACUACCGGAAACGGUGGCUAAUACCGCAUAACGUCGCAAGACCAAAGAGGGGGACCUUCGGGCCUCUCACUAUCGGAUGAACCCAGAUGGGAUUAGCUAGUAGGCGGGGUAAUGGCCCACCUAGGCGACGAUCCCUAGCUGGUCUGAGAGGAUGACCAGCCACACUGGAACGGAGAAACGGUCCAGACUCCUACGGGAGGCAGCAGUGGGGAAUAUUGCACAAUGGGCGCAAGCCUGAUGCAGCCAUGCCGCGUGUAUGAAGAAGGCCUUCGGGUUGUAAAGUACUUUCAGCGGGGAGGAAGGCGGUGCGGUUAAUAACCGUGCCGAUUGACGUUACCCGCAGAAGAAGCACCGGCUAACUCCGUGCCAGCCGCCGCCGUAA
Molecule: ribosomal RNA, 505 nt
Filed under: uncultured bacterium
Lineage: Bacteria
Description: partial 16S ribosomal RNA
Rfam family: Bacterial small subunit ribosomal RNA
Source: RNAcentral